UUAAAUAGAAUUGACGGGGCCCGGCACAAGCGGUGGAGUAUGUGGUUUAAUUCGAUGCAACGCGAAGAACCUUACCUGGUCUUGACAUCCCGGAGACCCUUAGGAAACUAGGGGUGCUUCCAUCUGGAAGAAUCUGGAGACAGGUGCUGCAUGGCUGUCGUCAGCUCGUGUCGUGAGAUGUUGGGUUAAGUCCCGCAACGAGCGCAACCCUUGCCUUUAGUUGCCAGCAGUUCGGCUGGGCACUCUAAAGGGACUGCCGGUGUUAAACCGGAGGAAGGUGGGGAUGACGUCAAGUCCUCAUGGCCUUUAUGACCAGGGCUACACACGUACUACAAUGGCCGAUACAAAGGGCAGCGACACUGCGAGGUGAAGCCAAUCCCGUAAAAUCGGUCUCAGUCCGGAUUGGAGUCUGCAACUCGACUCCAUGAAGUUGGAAUCGCUAGUAAUCGUGGAUCAGCAUGCCACGGUGAAUACGUUCCCGGGCCUU
Molecule: ribosomal RNA, 487 nt
Filed under: uncultured Desulfobulbus sp.
Lineage: Bacteria; Pseudomonadati; Thermodesulfobacteriota; Desulfobulbia; Desulfobulbales; Desulfobulbaceae
Description: bacterial SSU rRNA
Rfam family: Bacterial small subunit ribosomal RNA
Source: RNAcentral